AUUGAACGCUGGCGGCAGGCCUAACACACGCAAGUCGAACGGUAACAGGAAGAAGCUUGCUUCUUUGCUGACGAGUGGCGGACGGGUGAGUAAUGUCUGGGAAACUGCCUGAUGGAGGGGGAUAACUACUGGAAACGGUAGCUAAUACCGCAUAACGUCGCAAGACCAAAGAGGGGGACCUUCGGGCCUCUUGCCAUCGGAUGUGCCCAGAUGGGAUUAGCUAGUAGGUGGGGUAACGGCUCACCUAGGCGACGAUCCCUAGCUGGUCUGAGAGGAUGACCAGCCACACUGGAACUGAGACACGGUCCAGACUCCUACGGGAGGCAGCAGUGGGGAAUAUUGCACAAUGGGCGCAAGCCUGAUGCAGCCAUGCCGCGUGUAUGAAGAAGGCCUUCGGGUUGUAAAGUACUUUCAGCGGGGAGGAAGGGAGUAAAGUUAAUACCUUUGCUCAUUGACGUUACCCGCAGAAGAGGCACCGGCUAACUCCGUG
RNAcentral lists this ribosomal RNA (490 nucleotides) under uncultured bacterium. Its description in RNAcentral is "partial 16S ribosomal RNA". It matches the Rfam family "Bacterial small subunit ribosomal RNA", at positions 30 to 507 of the family's 1533-position model. The record is from RNAcentral.